This 466-nucleotide small RNA is filed under the name Pan troglodytes (chimpanzee). Its description in RNAcentral is "processed transcript". The record is from RNAcentral. Lineage: Eukaryota; Metazoa; Chordata; Mammalia; Primates; Hominidae.
UGGAUAGACUCAUAUCUGUGACCAGUGUCCGCCACCGCGGAUGGCAAGAGACCUGAUCGGACCGGCCCUGCCGCCCGGCUUCAAGGCCCGCGGAACAGCGGAGGACGAAGAGCGGGACCCGAGCCCUGAUGGAGUCUUGCUCUGUCGCACAGGCUGGAGUGCAAUGGCGUGAUCUUGGCUCACUGCAACCUCCACUGCCAGAAUUCAAGCAAUUCACCUGCCUCAGCCUCCUGAGUAGCUGGGAUUACAGACGCACACCACCAUGCCCAGCUAAUUUUGUAUUUUUAGUAGAGACAGGGUUUCACCAUGUUGCCCAGGCUGGUCCUGAACUCCUGACCUCGGGUGAUCCGCCCACCUUGGCCUCCCAAAGUGCUGGGAUUACAGGCGUGAGCCACCACACCUGGCCCAAACCAUUUUUUAUCAGCUUUCUAAUGCAUAUCCCCUGUUGCUGAUCUCUCUUGUCUAU